Molecule: ribosomal RNA, 449 nt
Filed under: uncultured bacterium
Lineage: Bacteria
Description: partial 16S ribosomal RNA
Rfam family: Bacterial small subunit ribosomal RNA
Source: RNAcentral
AGCGAACGCUGGCGGCAGGCUUAACACAUGCAAGUCGAACGGGCACUUCGGUGCUAGUGGCAGACGGGUGAGUAACGCGUGGGAACGUGCCUUUCGGUUCGGAAUAAUCCAGGGAAACUUGGACUAAUACCGGAUACGCCCUUCGGGGGAAAGAUUUAUCGCCGAAAGAUCGGCUCGCGUCUGAUUAGCUAGUUGGUGAGGUAAAGGAUCACCAAGGCGACGAUCAGUAGCUGGUCUGAGAGGAUGAUCAGCCACAUUGGGACUGAGACACGGCCCAAACUCCAACGGGAGGCAGCAGUGGGGAAUAUUGGACAAUGGGCGCAAGCCUGAUCCAGCCAUGCCGCGUGAGUGAUGAAGGCCUUAGGGUUGUAAAGCUCUUUUGUCCGGGAAGAUAAUGACUGUACCGGAAGAAUAAGCCCCGGCUAACUGCGUGCCAGCCGCCGCAGUAA